UAUUGGUGGUGUGGUUAUACCUGAGAAGAGACUUGAAUCUCUCCCAUGCAUAAUAGAGAUUCUCGUCUGGCUUUUGCUUAAAACUUAGGAUCUCACUCCUCAACCC
This is a non-coding RNA of Capsicum annuum, 106 nucleotides long. The record is from Rfam. NCBI's taxonomy places the organism in Eukaryota, Viridiplantae, Streptophyta, Magnoliopsida, Solanales, Solanaceae.